Molecule: ribosomal RNA, 264 nt
Filed under: uncultured archaeon
Lineage: Archaea
Description: partial 16S ribosomal RNA
Rfam family: Archaeal small subunit ribosomal RNA
Source: RNAcentral
ACAGUCACACAUUAGAUACCCGGGUAGUCCUGGCCGUAAACGAUGUGGACUUGGUGUUGGAAUGGCUCCGAGCUGCUCCAGUGCCGAAGGGAAGCUGUUAAGUCCACCGCCUGGGAAGUACGGUCGCAAGGCUGAAACUUAAAGGAAUUGGCGGGGAGCACCACAACGGGUGGAGCCUGCGGUUUAAUUGGACUCAACGCCGGAAAUCUCACCGGAUAGGGCAGACAUAUGAUAGUCGGGCUGAAGACUCUACUUGAUGAUCUG